GACGAACGCUGGCGGCGUGCUUAACACAUGCAAGUCGAACGGAAAGGCCCUGCUUUUGUGGGUUGCUCGAGUGGCGAACGGGUGAGUAACCCGUGAGUAACCUGCCCUUGACUUUGGGAUAACUUCAGGAAACUGGUGCUAAUACCGGAUAUGAGCUCCUGCUGCAUGGUGGGGGUUGGAAAGUUUCGGCGGUUGGGGAUGGACUCGCGGCUUAUCAGCUUGUUGGUGGGGUAGUGGCUUACCAAGGCUUUGACGGGUAGCCGGCCUGAGAGGGUGACCGGCCACAUUGGGACUGAGAUACGGCCCAGACUCCUAAGGGAGGCAGCAGUGGGGAAUAUUGCACAAUGGGCGGAAGACUGAUGCAGCAACGCCGCGUGCGGGAUGACGGCCUUAGGGUUGUAAACCGCUUUCGCCUGUGACGAAGCGUGAGUGACGGUAAUGGGUAAAGAAGCACCGGCUAACUACGUG
RNAcentral lists this ribosomal RNA (468 nucleotides) under uncultured bacterium. Its description in RNAcentral is "partial 16S ribosomal RNA". It matches the Rfam family "Bacterial small subunit ribosomal RNA", at positions 28 to 507 of the family's 1533-position model. The record is from RNAcentral.